This is a long non-coding RNA of Cephus cinctus (wheat stem sawfly), 999 nucleotides long. RefSeq lists it as uncharacterized. The transcript is spliced from 4 exons. NCBI's taxonomy places the organism in Eukaryota, Metazoa, Arthropoda, Insecta, Hymenoptera, Cephidae. The record is from RefSeq and is a predicted model, not a curated record.
UCGCGUUUUCUACCCGCAACGGUUUAUCCGUUAUCUUCUACUUGUUUUUUCGUAAUUUCGUUCUGUUUGUACACAUUGUGGGCCCUGCGGGUGGUGCAGCCCUUUGCGUGAACAGUGCAUAUUUAACUUGUGCGAUGCGACCUGCGUGGAGCAACGGAACUGGGGUCAUUUAAUGGAUCGCCCAUCGAGCUGGCCAUCUCACUGAUGGCUGCAAUGAUCGCUUCCAGCCCUUCGCUUCACUCCGCCAAUCCCUCUUGCACUGUUUUCAUUAUCAUCGACGCUUGCAUACAUCUGACUAUUCUCGACCUGAGUGAUGAUGCGCGACGGUGACGCUAUCAUCCAUUUGCAUAUUUCGACAGAAUAAGGAUCCAAUAAUCAACAACACUACUGCUUACGCGAGUGGAACGAUCGACAACUACUUCUUGCAGCGAUCGUUCCGUUCGAUCGCCCAGGUCCUUUGAACUCUAUAAGCAAGUCGACGGAGUCCUGAAUUUCAACGCGAUGACUCACGGAAACGGAUCGUUAGAUGAAGAUCCUGGAGGAAGGAUAACACCGACGCUCGACUUCAUCCUCGCCUUCAAGCUACUACCGGAAUACUAAGCAUCGUCUAUGCUGUGCUUUGUAAAUUAAAGACACUGGAGUGUAUACCUAUACACGGCGCUAUGCUACUGGAAGGUAGCUUUCCUCGAGUGCAGAAUAAUGUCAAGCCUUGGGGAUGGAUCCUGAUGGUGUUGCAUUCGUGAAUCACUGUUUCUCCAUACGUACACGUAAACCUGAACAGGUCGAUCGUCCCCUCUCCGUUUCUCUCGCUCUUGACUGGUGCGGUAAGAGUGGAUGGGCAAUAUUUCACCUGACAGCGCACCUUAUGACAUGAUAAACAAAGUCAUUAUCUUGGAGAGAAAAAAAAGGCGAGCAUAAGGCCAGCAAACUGGUGCAUUGAGUCAGAAAAAAUCAAAGCAGAUUAUGAAGGGUUCCUUUCAUAAAUGCAGCUAUUAUAUA